Molecule: ribosomal RNA, 253 nt
Filed under: uncultured bacterium
Lineage: Bacteria
Description: partial 16S ribosomal RNA
Rfam family: Bacterial small subunit ribosomal RNA
Source: RNAcentral
UACGUAGGGGGCGAGCGUUGUCCGGAAUUAUUGGGCGUAAAGAGCGUGUAGGCGGUUCGGUAAGUCUGCCGUGAAAACCUGGGGCUCAACCCCGGGCGUGCGGUGGAUACUGCCGGGCUAGAGGGUGGUAGAGGCGAGUGGAAUUCCUGGUGUAGCGGUGGAAUGCGCAGAUAUCAGGAGGAACACCAAUAGCGAAGGCAGCUCGCUGGGACGGUAUUGACGCUAAGGCGCGAAAGCGUGGGGAGCAAACAGG